This 430-nucleotide ribosomal RNA is filed under the name uncultured bacterium. RNAcentral's name for it is "bacterial SSU rRNA". It matches the Rfam family "Bacterial small subunit ribosomal RNA", at positions 31 to 506 of the family's 1533-position model. The record is from RNAcentral.
GUACGCUGGCGGCACGCCUAACACAUGCAAGUCGAACGAAGUAGCAAUACUUAGUGGCAGACGGGUGAGUAACAUGUAGGUAUCUGCCCUUUGGCCUGGAAUAACACGAGGAAACUUGUGCUAAUACCGGAUAAGUCUUUACGGAGAAAGCUUUAUGCACCAUUGGAUGAGCCUGCACUUGAUUAGUUUGUUGGUGGGGUAAUGGCCUACCAAGACUGUGAUCAAUAGCUGAUUUGAGAGGAUGAUCAGCCACAUUGGGACUGAGACACGGCCCAAACUCCUACGGGAGGCAGCAGUGGGGAAUCUUGCACAAUGGAGGAAACUCUGAUGCAGCGAUGCCGCGUGAGUGAAGAAGGCCUUUGGGUUGUAAAGCUCUUUCGUCGGGGAAGAAAAUGACUGUACCCGAAUAAGAAGGUCCGGCUAACUUCGU